GCUGGAUGCAGGACGCCUGGGUUCUUUCCGGGGGGCGCAGGACGCCUGGGUUCUCUCUUGGCGGGGUUGUUGGGGGGGCUGGGCGCACUCAGUGACCCUCUGCUGUUUCUCCAGGCCUGGCUCCGUCCAACACCUUCGUGGCCCCGCAGCCCGUGGUGGGGCCCAGCCCAGCCAAGCUGCAGGCAGCCGCCACCCUGGCCGAGGUGGCCAACGGCAUUGAGUCCGCCCCCAUGAAGCCGGACCCCUCGGUGCAGCCCCAGAAGCUGCUGGUGAAGAAG
Non-coding RNA from Chrysemys picta bellii (western painted turtle), 278 nucleotides. The record is from RefSeq and is a predicted model, not a curated record. NCBI's taxonomy places the organism in Eukaryota, Metazoa, Chordata, Testudines, Emydidae.